GAUGAACGCUGGCGGCGUGCCUAACACAUGCAAGUCGAGCGAAGCGCCUUACUUGAUUUCUUCGGGAUGAAAGUAUUGUGACUGAGCGGCGGACGGGUGAGUAACGCGUGGAUAACCUGCCUCAUACAGGGGGAUAACAGUUAGAAAUGACUGCUAAUACCGCAUAAGACCACAGCACCGCAUGGUGCAGGGGUAAAAACUCCGGUGGUAUGAGAUGGAUCCGCGUCUGAUUAGCUAGUUGGUAAGGUAACGGCUCACCAAGGCGACGAUCAGUAGCCGACCUGAGAGGGUGACCGGCCACAUUGGGACUGAGACACGGCCCAA
Molecule: ribosomal RNA, 324 nt
Filed under: uncultured bacterium
Lineage: Bacteria
Description: bacterial SSU rRNA
Rfam family: Bacterial small subunit ribosomal RNA
Source: RNAcentral